UUUUGUAUCCUCAAUAUUAAUGAAAACAAUAACGGCUGAUUAUUGUGGCAGUGAAGUUAGCCUAGUGGACUUUACACCGAUGUUUUUGUGUGUUGUGGUCUUGAUACUGCUAACGGUGCCACUAGUUAUCACCCUCAACCCCGAGGAGGUUAAAGUAAAUGCCAGCCAAACGACCAACAAUGAAACUUAGUCUGGCAUCAAGGAAUUUUGGAAAAAUGGACGCAAUGCGACGUUUAUGUUCACUGGCCUUGUCAUCGGUGUUGUAUAUGGAUACAUCAUGUCUUAUUUGACUUGGAGGGUCGACAUCUUGGUGCUGGGUUUUUUUGCACAAUGGUCGUGGGAUUGGCGUACAUUGCUCAGACAGCUCGUCCUAGAUGUCAAGCCGCUGUUACAUUCAUGUUUUCUGCAGCUUAUACGUCUUUGGGCUUCAGCGUGGGCUCAGAAAUUGGCGGGCUACUGACAGGAGAAUAUGGUGUAAAAAACGUUUUCUACAUGGUGUCAGGCCUCUCAGCAUCCGUCGCCAUUUUUAUUGGAAUGUUCGAUUGGAUAUAUUCCAUGAACAACAGCAGGGACGAGGUAUCAUCAACAUCUGAACACUACACUGCUGCUGGGCAUCAUCCAGCACUUACUGGUCAAGAUAGUUGUAAUUCCGACAAAGACAAGUUGAUAGAUUAUGGGAGUACUGACGGGUCAUGAAGGCUGGCUUAUCAAUGAUGAAG
RNAcentral lists this unclassified non-coding RNA (719 nucleotides) under Anneissia japonica. RNAcentral describes it as "uncharacterized LOC117100445, transcript variant X1". The record is from RNAcentral. Lineage: Eukaryota; Metazoa; Echinodermata; Crinoidea; Comatulida; Comatulidae.